UGACGUAGACCAGGCCAGGCAGGCAGCGGAGAGCCCGGACUUAGGCCGGCCCGUUAAAUCAGUGUGUUACGCGUCAGCGUGUAAGCCAGUGCAAUCGUCUAGUAACGUCCAGACAUCAGGAGCAAUCGGUUGUUGGUGGUCGGCUACAGAGUUGUCCGUAGUGUUCCCGCAACUUCCGUACGUCCGGUCGCUAAUCGGAUCGGAUCGGGAUCGGAGCGCAGCCAGAGAGUGUACGUCGUCGUGUCUCAGGCAGCCAGCCAGCCAGCCAGCCGGUGAUACAGCCAACGAUGGUCGUCAAGAUCUACAUAUCGGGUAUCAGCGGCAACAAGGAAGUGAAGAAAAGACAACAACGUGUGAUGAUGAUUUUAGAUAGUAAAAAUGUGGAAUAUGAGAUUAUUGAUAUAACAGAGCCAGGCAAGGAACUAGACAAAGAAUUCAUGCAAGCUAAUAGCAAUGCAAGAACCAACAAAUAUCCAUUGCCACCACAAAUAUUUAAUGAAGAUGAUUAUUGCGGAGAUUAUGAAGACUUUGAUUUAGCAAACGAAUUGGAUGAAUUAGAAAAGUUUUUAAAAGUAACGCCAGCAAUUAGCACUGCGGAAAUCACUCUUGAUUCAAAAUCUCAGAAUGAUGCAAUUCAAGAGAAUGGAAAUACUUCAAGUCGAGAGCCUUCUGCGGAUAAAGAAGCAGAUAUAAUACUCUCCGACAGUUUACCAGAAAGAACAACUUUAGACAGUGAGAAUAAAGCCUUAGAUGACUCUAAACCGACUGAAGAUAGCGCGGCAAAAAUUAUCGCUAGUGAUGAAGGUGAACAUGCCGAAGAUAAUGGGGAUAAGAAUGAAGAAAAAUCCGACGACCAAGAAAAAGAGGAAUAGAUACGAGGAGAUAUACCUCAUGUAAAGUUGGGAUAUAUUCCAUACAUCCUUCCUUUUCCACCCACAAGCGUAUUUUGCAAAGCUACGUUUAUUACAUUACUAAGGCUGAAUGAAGAUCAAGCGCGUCCUCACACACCAAUGUCUGUUUUCCAACAGGUUUGAUUAGAUGAUAUGAGAUAAUUCCUUCAUAUUGCUGUCUUUAUACACGUCUUCACCUUUAUUGUUUAUUAUUUUGCAUUGUUUCACAUAUUGCACCAUACCUAAUAUAUUAUAGCACUUUCAAAGUGAAAUUAAAGUAUAUUUUUCUUUUACGUUUUUUUUUCCAUUAGUAUACAACUUUUUGAUUAUUAUGUUGCAGCGUGCAAAAACAUGUAAGUAAAUAUGUAGGAUAUAGUAACAAAUGCAUAUAUACAUAUAAUAUCAUUGGAGAUAUAUGAGGACAAACAUAGAUAUAUUUCUAUUAU
Molecule: unclassified non-coding RNA, 1336 nt
Filed under: Camponotus floridanus (Florida carpenter ant)
Lineage: Eukaryota; Metazoa; Arthropoda; Insecta; Hymenoptera; Formicidae
Description: sH3 domain-binding glutamic acid-rich protein homolog, transcript variant X1
Source: RNAcentral